CACUCCACUCAUCCCUCUCACCUCCUGCCUACUCUUCACUAUCCUAUAAAAAAAUAAGAGACUAGAUAAAUAUAAAUAUAUAUAAAUCAUCUUCUUCUCUCGGCUGUCUGGUUAGCGUUAGUGUUCUCUCUUCUCUAGGCUGUCUAGUUAGCGUUCUCUCUUCUCCCGGCUGUCUAGUUAGCGUGCUAUCUUCUCUAGGCUGUCUGGUUAGCGUGCUCUCUUCUCUCGGCUGUCUAGUUAGCGUGCUCUCUUCUCUCGGCUGUCUGGUUAGCGUUAGUGUUCUCUCUUCUCUAGGCUGUCUAGUUAGCGUGCUCUCUUCUCUCGGCUGUCUAGUUAGCGUGCUCUCUUCUCUCGGCUGUCUAGUUAGUGUUCUCUCUUCUCUAGGCUGUCUAGUUAGCGUGCUCUCUUCUCUCGGCUGUCUAGUUAGUGUUCUCUCUUCUCUAGGCUGUCUAGUUAGCGUGCUCAGCUGAUAACUAUAGAGUUAAUGACAGCCAUGGGAAGAUGGUAAAAACAGCAAAGUCAGGAAUGAUUUUGCUCCAUAGUGUCAAUGUCUCUUGUAUGCAAUAACCCGUUGUGUUACAACAUGUUGUGAUCGUAGAUCCAUUUGUGUGCUGUACUGUUUGCUGUUCAGCAUCCCAUCAGAUUAAUCCUCACCCAUAAUGCUCUGCGUUGCCUAGGUGCC
This is a long non-coding RNA of Clupea harengus (Atlantic herring), 682 nucleotides long. NCBI's taxonomy places the organism in Eukaryota, Metazoa, Chordata, Actinopteri, Clupeiformes, Clupeidae. The record is from Ensembl.